GUGUCAGCAGCCGCGGUAAUACAGAGGUGGCAAGCGUUGUUCGGAAUCACUGGGCUUAAAGCGUGUGUAGGCGGACCGGCGUGUGUCAUGUGAAAUCCCCCGUCUUAACCGGGGAAUUGCUUGGCAGACUGCCGGCCUUGAGGCAGGCAGGGGUGCGUGGAACUCUUGGUGGAGCGGUGAAAUGCGUAGAUAUCAAGAGGAACGCCAGUGGUGAAGACGGCGCACUAGGCCUGAACUGACGCUGAGACACGAAAGCGUGGGGAGCGAACGGGAUUAGAUACCCCGGUAGUCCACGCUGUAAACGAUGCCUACCAGGUGUUGGAGAUUCUGACAUCUUCAAGACCGUAGCAAAAGUGUUAAGUAGGCCGCCUGGGGAGUACGGUCGCAAGGCUAAAACUUAAAGGAAUUGACGGGG
Molecule: ribosomal RNA, 415 nt
Filed under: uncultured prokaryote
Description: bacterial SSU rRNA
Rfam family: Bacterial small subunit ribosomal RNA
Source: RNAcentral